GAUAGAUGUCUAGGAGUAGCUUCGUCUUAUAGACGGGGUAUUCUUCUUCUACCUCUUCCUGUGAUGUAAGGAAUAAACAGAUUCACACCC
Molecule: long non-coding RNA, 90 nt
Organism: Haliotis rubra (blacklip abalone)
Lineage: Eukaryota; Metazoa; Mollusca; Gastropoda; Lepetellida; Haliotidae
Exons: 2
Source: RefSeq, a predicted model, not a curated record